This 72-nucleotide transfer RNA is filed under the name Camelus bactrianus (Bactrian camel). It matches the Rfam family "tRNA". Rfam says of the family: Transfer RNA (tRNA) molecules are approximately 80 nucleotides in length. RNAcentral also lists the same sequence under 2 other names. The record is from Rfam by way of RNAcentral. Lineage: Eukaryota; Metazoa; Chordata; Mammalia; Artiodactyla; Camelidae.
AGGGGUAUGGCUUAGAGGCAGAGCAUGUGCUUGGCUUACACAAGGUCCUGGGUUCAAUCCCCCGUGCCCCUG